This 83-nucleotide non-coding RNA is filed under the name Chaetoceros curvisetus. Lineage: Eukaryota; Bacillariophyta; Thalassiosirophyceae; Chaetocerotales; Chaetocerotaceae. The record is from RNAcentral.
UGUAAUCCCAGCACUUUGGGAGGCUGAGGUGGGUGGAUCACCUGAGGUCAGGAGUUCGAGACCAGCCUGGCCAACAUGGUGAA